This 64-nucleotide transfer RNA is filed under the name Daldorfia horrida. Its description in RNAcentral is "tRNA-Ala". Lineage: Eukaryota; Metazoa; Arthropoda; Malacostraca; Decapoda; Parthenopidae. The record is from RNAcentral.
AAGGCUAUAGUCAAUAUUUAUGACAUAUGAGUUGCAUUCAUAAAGAGUUUUUUAACUAGCUUUG